CCUACGGGCGGCAGCAGUGGGGAAUAUUGGACAAUGGGCGAAAGCCUGAUCCAGCCAUGCCGCGUGUGUGAAGAAGGCCUUCGGGUUGUAAAGCACUUUCAGUGGGGAAGAAAGCCUUGGGGCUAAUACCCUCGAGGAAGGACAUCACCCACAGAAGAAGCACCGGCUAACUGCCGUGCCAGCAGCCGCGGUAAUACGGAGGGUGCGAGCGUUAAUCGGAAUUACUGGGCGUAAAGCGCGCGUAGGCGGUCUGAUAAGCCGGUUGUGAAAGCCCCGGGCUCAACCUGGGAACGGCAUCCGGAACUGUCAGGCUAGAGUGCAGGAGAGGAAGGUAGAAUUCCCGGUGUAGCGGUGAAAUGCGUAGAGAUCGGGAGGAAUACCAGUGGCGAAGGCGGCCUUCUGGACUGACACUGACGCUGAGGUGCGAAAGCGUGGGUAGCAAACAGGAUUAGAUACCCUUGUAGUC
RNAcentral lists this ribosomal RNA (466 nucleotides) under Vreelandella stevensii. RNAcentral describes it as "partial 16S ribosomal RNA". It matches the Rfam family "Bacterial small subunit ribosomal RNA", at positions 338 to 795 of the family's 1533-position model. The record is from RNAcentral. Lineage: Bacteria; Pseudomonadati; Pseudomonadota; Gammaproteobacteria; Oceanospirillales; Halomonadaceae.